RNAcentral lists this transfer RNA (76 nucleotides) under Rhodospirillaceae bacterium. RNAcentral describes it as "tRNA-Phe". It matches the Rfam family "tRNA". From Rfam's summary of the family: Transfer RNA (tRNA) molecules are approximately 80 nucleotides in length. Their secondary structure includes four short double-helical elements and three loops (D, anti-codon, and T loops). Further hydrogen bonds mediate the characteristic L-shaped molecular structure. tRNAs have two regions of fundamental functional importance: the anti-codon, which is responsible for specific mRNA codon recognition, and the 3' end, to which the tRNAs corresponding amino acid is attached (by aminoacyl-tRNA synthetases). tRNAs cope with the degeneracy of the genetic code in two manners: having more than one tRNA (with a specific anti-codon) for a particular amino acid; and 'wobble' base-pairing, i.e. permitting non-standard base-pairing at the 3rd anti-codon position. RNAcentral also lists the same sequence under 1 other name. Lineage: Bacteria; Pseudomonadati; Pseudomonadota; Alphaproteobacteria; Rhodospirillales; Rhodospirillaceae. The record is from RNAcentral.
GCCCAGGUAGCUCAGUUGGUAGAGCAGUGGACUGAAAAUCCUCGUGUCGGUGGUUCAACUCCGCCCCUGGGCACCA